UACGAAGGGGGCUAGCGUUGUUCGGAAUCACUGGGCGUAAAGCGCACGUAGGCGGACCAUUAAGUCAGGGGUGAAAGCCUGGAGCUCAACUCCAGAACUGCCUUUGAUACUGAUGGUCUCGAGUUCGGAAGAGGUUGGUGGAACUGCGAGUGUAGAGGUGAAAUUCGUAGAUAUUCGCAAGAACACCAGUGGCGAAGGCGGCCAACUGGUCCGAUACUGACGCUGAGGUGCGAAAGCGUGGGGAGCAAACAGG
Molecule: non-coding RNA, 253 nt
Filed under: uncultured bacterium
Lineage: Bacteria
Also listed under: 3 other names
Description: partial 16S ribosomal RNA
Rfam family: Bacterial small subunit ribosomal RNA
Source: RNAcentral